CACGAAGUUAGCCGGUGCUUAUUCUUUGGGUACCGUCAGAACAAUCGGGUAUUAACCGACUGCUUUUCUUUCCCAACAAAAGGGCUUUACAACCCGAAGGCCCUCUUCACCCACGCGGCAUGGCUGGAUCAGGCUUGCGCCCAUUGUCCAAUAUUCCCCACUGCUGCCUCCCGUAGGAGUCUGGACCGUGUCUCAGUUCCAGUGUGGCUGAUCAUCCUCUCAGACCAGCUACGGAUCGUCGCCUUGGUGGGCCUUUACCCCGCCAACUAGCUAAUCCGACAUCGGCUCAUCUAUCUGCGCGAAGCCCGAAGGUCCUCCGCUUUCACCCGUAGGUCGUAUGCGGUAUUAGCGUAAGUUUCCCUACGUUAUCCCCCACAAAUAGGCAGAUUCCGAUGUAUUCCUCACCCGUCCGCCACUCGCCACCCGAGGAGCAAGCUCCUCUGUGCUGCCGUUCGACUUGCAUGUGUUAGGCCUGCCGCCAGCGUUCACUCUGAGCCAGGAUCAAACU
RNAcentral lists this ribosomal RNA (508 nucleotides) under uncultured Lysobacteraceae bacterium. Its description in RNAcentral is "uncultured Xanthomonadaceae bacterium partial 16S ribosomal RNA". Lineage: Bacteria; Pseudomonadati; Pseudomonadota; Gammaproteobacteria; Lysobacterales; Lysobacteraceae. The record is from RNAcentral.